This 804-nucleotide ribosomal RNA is filed under the name uncultured bacterium. RNAcentral's name for it is "bacterial SSU rRNA". It matches the Rfam family "Bacterial small subunit ribosomal RNA", at positions 8 to 812 of the family's 1533-position model. The record is from RNAcentral.
AGAGUUUGAUCCUGGCUCAGGAUGAACGCUGGCGGCGUGCUUAACACAUGCAAGUCGAGCGAAGCAGCUGUUUGGAAUCCUCCGGGAGGAAGAACAUCUGACUGAGCGGCGGACGGGUGAGUAACGCGUGGGGAACCUGCCUUAUACCGGGGGAUAACAGCUGGAAACGGCUGCUAAUACCGCAUAAGCGCACGGCACCGCAUGGUGCAGUGUGAAAAACUCCGGUGGUAUAAGAUGGACCCGCGUUAGAUUAGCUUGUUGGCGGGGUAACGGCCCACCAAGGCGACGAUCUAUAGCCGGCCUGAGAGGGCGACCGGCCACAUUGGGACUGAGACACGGCCCAAACUCCUACGGGAGGCAGCAGUGGGGAAUAUUGCACAAUGGGCGAAAGCCUGAUGCAGCGACGCCGCGUGAGCGAAGAAGUAUUUCGGUAUGUAAAGCUCUAUCAGCAGGGAAGAAAAUGACGGUACCUGACUAAGAAGCCCCGGCUAACUACGUGCCAGCAGCCGCGGUAAUACGUAGGGGGCAAGCGUUAUCCGGAUUUACUGGGUGUAAAGGGAGCGUAGACGGCAGUGCAAGUCUGGAGUGAAAGCCUGGGGCUUAACCCCGGAACUGCUUUGGAAACUGUGCUGCUUGAGUACCGGAGGGGUAAGCGGAAUUCCUAGUGUAGCGGUGAAAUGCGUAGAUAUUAGGAGGAACACCAGUGGCGAAGGCGGCUUACUGGACGGUAACUGACGUUGAGGCUCGAAAGCGUGGGGAGCAAACAGGAUUAGAUACCCUGGUAGUCCACGCCGUAAACGAUGA